RNAcentral lists this ribosomal RNA (468 nucleotides) under uncultured bacterium. Its description in RNAcentral is "partial 16S ribosomal RNA". The stretch from base 52 to 468 matches the Rfam family "Bacterial small subunit ribosomal RNA", at positions 39 to 507 of the family's 1533-position model. The record is from RNAcentral.
GGGGGGGGGGGGGGGGGGGGGGGGGGGGGGGGGGGGGGGGGGGGGGGGCGGGCGGGGGGGGGGGGCGCGGGGGGCGAAGGGGUGAGGAAGGCGGGAGGAGCCUGCGCUGGAGUGUGGGAUGACGGCAGGGAACUGGGGAGGGUGCGGGAGAGGAGCGCCUGCGGCAGGGUGGGGGGGGGAAAGUUGCGGGGGUUGGGGAUGGACUCGGGGCUGAUCAGCUUGUGGGUGGGGUAGUGGGUUGCCAAGGCUUUGACGGGUAGCCGGCCUGAGAGGGUGACCGGCCACAUUGGGACUGAGAUACGGCCCAGACUCCUACGGGAGGCAGCAGUGGGGAAUAUUGCACAAUGGGCGGAAGCCUGAUGCAGCAACGCCGCGUGCGGGAUGACGGCCUUCGGGUUGUAAACCGCGUUCGCCUGUGACGAAGCGUGAGUGACGUUAAUGGGUAAAGAAGCACCGGCUAACUACGUG